AAUGAACGCUGGCGGCGCGCCUAAUACAUGCAAGUCGAGCGAGAAGACGUAGCAAUACGUUUGUAAAGCGGCGAACGGGUGAGGAAUACAUGGGUAACCUACCCUCGAGUGGGGAAUAACUAGCCGAAAGGUUAGCUAAUACCGCGUACGCUCCUUGGACUUCGGUUCAGGGAGGAAAGCGAUACCGUGGGUAUCGCGCUCUUGGUUGGGCUCAUGUCCUAUCAGCUUGUUGGUGAGGAACGGCUCACCAAGGCUUCGACGGGUAGCUGGUCUGAGAGGACGAUCAGCCACACUGGCACUGCGACACGGGCCAGACUCCUACGGGAGGCAGCAGUAAGGAAUAUUGCGCAAUGGGCGAAAGCCUGACGCAGCGACGCCGCGUGGGGGAGUGAAGGUCUUCGGAUUUGUAAACCCCUUUCGGGAGGGAAGAUGGAACGAGCAAUCGUUCGGACGGUACCUCCAGAAGCAGCCACGGCUAACUUCGUGCC
Molecule: ribosomal RNA, 488 nt
Filed under: uncultured bacterium
Lineage: Bacteria
Description: bacterial SSU rRNA
Rfam family: Bacterial small subunit ribosomal RNA
Source: RNAcentral